UGGGGGAUAUUGCACAAUGGGGGAAACCCUGAUGCAGCGACGCCGCGUGGAGGAAGAAGGUUUUCGGAUUGUAAACUCCUGUCGUAAGGGACGAUAAUGACGGUACCUUACAAGAAAGCCACGGCUAACUACGUGCCAGCAGCCGCGGUAAAACGUAGGUGGCAAGCGUUGUCCGGAAUUACUGGGUGUAAAGGGAGCGCAGGCGGACCGGCAAGUUGGAAGUGAAAACUAUGGGCUCAACCCAUAAACUGCUUUCAAAACUGCUGGCCUUGAGUAGUGCAGAGGUAGGCGGAAUUCCCGGUGUAGCGGUGGAAUGCGUAGAUAUCGGGAGGAACACCAGUGGCGAAGGCGGCCUACUGGGCACCAACUGACGCUGAGGCUCGAAAGUGUGGGUAGCAAACAGGA
This 405-nucleotide ribosomal RNA is filed under the name uncultured bacterium. RNAcentral describes it as "bacterial SSU rRNA". It matches the Rfam family "Bacterial small subunit ribosomal RNA", at positions 355 to 777 of the family's 1533-position model. The record is from RNAcentral.